RNAcentral lists this transfer RNA (73 nucleotides) under Lachnospiraceae bacterium. RNAcentral's name for it is "tRNA-Thr". It matches the Rfam family "tRNA". From Rfam's summary of the family: Transfer RNA (tRNA) molecules are approximately 80 nucleotides in length. Their secondary structure includes four short double-helical elements and three loops (D, anti-codon, and T loops). The record is from RNAcentral. Lineage: Bacteria; Bacillati; Bacillota; Clostridia; Lachnospirales; Lachnospiraceae.
GCCACUAUGGCUCAGCUGGUAGAGCGACGCAUUCGUAAUGCGUAGGUCAACGGUUCGAAUCCGUUUAGUGGCU